This 235-nucleotide long non-coding RNA is filed under the name Lathyrus oleraceus (garden pea). Its description in RNAcentral is "Pisum sativum (pea) long non-coding RNA (PSAT_LNC014285)". The record is from RNAcentral. Lineage: Eukaryota; Viridiplantae; Streptophyta; Magnoliopsida; Fabales; Fabaceae.
ACGAACAUCGAAAGAUGAUGUUUACAGACAUCAAAGAAAACCAGACACUUACGCAUGACUGGGAAAGCACCGAAAAAUGGUGUUUACCGACACCAAAGAAGACCAGACACUUACGCAUGACUGGGAAAAAGAUGAUGUUUACAGACAUCAAAGAAAACCAGACACUUACGCAUGACUGGGAAAGCACCGAAAAAUGGUGUUUACCGACACCAAAGAAGACCAGACACUUACGCAU